AUUGAACGCUGGCGGCAUGCUUUACACAUGCAAGUCGAACGGUAACAGCACUUCGGUGGCUGACGAGUGGCGAACGGGCGAGUAAUACAUCGGAACGUGCCGAGUAGUGGGGGAUAACUACUCGAAAGAGUAGCUAAUACCGCAUGAGAUCUAAGGAUGAAAGCAGGGGACCUGCGGGCCUUGCGCUACUAGAGCGGCUGAUGGCAGAUUAGGUAGUUGGUGGGAUAAAAGCGUACCAAGCCGACGAUCUGUAGCUGGUCUGAGAGGAUGACCGGCCACACUGGGACUGAGACACGGCCCAGACUCCUACGGGAGGCAGCAGUGGGGAAUUUUGGACAAUGGGCGCAAGCCUGAUCCAGCAAUGCCGCGUGCAGGAUGAAGGCCUUCGGGUUGUAAACUGCUUUUGUACGGAACGAAAAGCCCUCUUCUAAUACAGGAGGGUCAUGACGGUACCGUACGAAUAAGCACCGGCUAACUACGUG
Molecule: ribosomal RNA, 482 nt
Filed under: uncultured bacterium
Lineage: Bacteria
Description: partial 16S ribosomal RNA
Rfam family: Bacterial small subunit ribosomal RNA
Source: RNAcentral